AAGAUGAGCUUCAGAGUCUGGAGCCCUGAUACCACAAGCUUUCCUGCUUUUGCAAGCACUGGAGUCUGACAUAUUUGCAAUGGAAUGGAAAAGCUUCCUCUGAGCUCUGUAUCACACCUGACCACUCACUCUGUUAGGAGUCUGAAAACACAGUCAAGUCUUAGAAAGUACCAAUUAUUUUAGUUGUGCCACUGAAUAAUAGACUGGAAAACAAGAUGCCUGAAGUGCUUCAAAGGCCCAGUGAAGGUCUGUAGAGACGCCUGUGUUAUUUUAGGAAUAAAUAUGUGCAGCCUAAGUAAUGUAUAACUACU
RNAcentral lists this long non-coding RNA (311 nucleotides) under Manacus vitellinus (golden-collared manakin). RNAcentral's name for it is "lncRNA (ENSMVIG00005013277.1)". The record is from RNAcentral. Lineage: Eukaryota; Metazoa; Chordata; Aves; Passeriformes; Pipridae.